RNAcentral lists this ribosomal RNA (763 nucleotides) under Salmonella enterica subsp. enterica. Its description in RNAcentral is "partial 23S ribosomal RNA". It matches the Rfam family "Bacterial large subunit ribosomal RNA", at positions 1163 to 1885 of the family's 2925-position model. The record is from RNAcentral. Lineage: Bacteria; Pseudomonadati; Pseudomonadota; Gammaproteobacteria; Enterobacterales; Enterobacteriaceae.
UAAAGCGAUUCAGCGGGUUACGAUUGACGGAGCGAAGCGACGUCAAAGCGUAUACAAAGUCGAGUCGGUUUAAGGAUACGUUCGUUGGGUAGGGGAGCGUUCUGUAAGCCCGUGAAGGUGGCCUGUGAGGGUUGCUGGAGGUAUCAGAAGUGCGAAUGCUGACAUAAGUAACGAUAAAGCGGGUGAAAAGCCCGCUCGCCGGAAGACCAAGGGUUCCUGUCCAACGUUAAUCGGGGCAGGGUGAGUCGACCCCUAAGGCGAGGCCGAAAGGCGUAGUCGAUGGGAAACGGGUUAAUAUUCCCGUACUUGGUGUUACUGCGAAGGGGGGACGGAGAAGGCUAUGUUGGCCGGGCGACGGUUGUCCCGGUUUAAGCGUGUAGGUGUGUGUUCCAGGUAAAUCCGGUUCACUUUAACACUGAGGCGUGACGACGAGGCACUACGGUGCUGAAGCAACAAAUGCCCUGCUUCCAGGAAAAGCCUCUAAGCAUCAGGUAACACGAAAUCGUACCCCAAACCGACACAGGUGGUCAGGUAGAGAAUACCAAGGCGCUUGAGAGAACUCGGGUGAAGGAACUAGGCAAAAUGGUGCCGUAACUUCGGGAGAAGGCACGCUGACACGUAGGUGAAGUGAUUUACUCAUGGAGCUGAAGUCAGUCGAAGAUACCAGCUGGCUGCAACUGUUUAUUAAAAACACAGCACUGUGCAAACACGAAAGUGGACGUAUACGGUGUGACGCCUGCCCGGUGCCGGAAGGUUAAUUGAU